This 253-nucleotide ribosomal RNA is filed under the name uncultured bacterium. RNAcentral describes it as "partial 16S ribosomal RNA". It matches the Rfam family "Bacterial small subunit ribosomal RNA", at positions 524 to 776 of the family's 1533-position model. The record is from RNAcentral.
UACGUAGGGUGCAGGCGUUAAUCGGAAUUACUGGGCGUAAAGCGUGCGCAGGCGGUCUGCUAAGAGAGGUGUGAAAUCUCCGGGCUUAACUCGGAACUGCCAAGUGAAACUGCUGGGCUAGAGUGCAGAAGGGGCAAUCGGAAUUCUUGGUGUAGCGGUGAAAUGCGUAGAUAUCAAGAGGAACACCUGAGGUGAAGACGGGUUGCUGGGCUGACACUGACGCUGAGGCGCGAAAGCCAGGAGAGCAAACGGG